UCUCUUCCCAACUACUUAUUUGUGAUGGCAGCAUUUUAAACAGAUCUCUAGCAGGUGUCUCUUUUUGUUAAUUUGUUCAUAUUUGUCCUCAUUACCGCUUCACCCAACAUGUCAGCCUAUUUAUUCUGAACUCCUCUAAGCUUCACACAAUUUAUUUCCAACAAUCAUUCAUUUCACAUCAUAUUACUCAGGUGUCUCUUUUUGUUAAUUUGUUCAUUAUUCGUCAUCAUUACCAUUUUGAGUGAGUUUAUGACCUCUCGGCAGAACUCUCUACAACAAGCAAAACUUCAUUAUUUACUGUUCUUUGGUGAGUGAUAACAAACCUUCAAUAUACAUUUCACAUGCAAACUCUGAGACAUUAUUAGAUUCUUUUACAACUCCUGCAUUUUACUGAGAUCGAUUUAUGGAUGCUCUUUUGACUCUCUUAUCUCCGUUGUUGCCCAAACAUGUUCUUUUUAUUUAGUCUCUAUCUCUCAUUCCUUACUAAGACAUUCAGAUGUUCUUAGAUCAUCACCACUACCUUCUAUAUUUCUCCAAACACAGCACAAACCUCCCUAUUUUCAUUUAUUAUUUGUUUGUGUGAUUUAUUUACUUUUCCUUUAAUUAUUUUAGGCCUGGGUUUUAUCCCAGCUAUGUUUUAUUAUUAGAAUUAGUUUAUAGUUUUCAUUCUUACUGUUAUUAGUUUGGAUAUGUUAUAAUUUAGCUCUAGGUUAGGUUAUCCUUCUUUUUACUUUAGUCAAGCAGCUCUAUUUCCAAUUUAUUUAACUUUUGGUCAUACUUUUAUUAAGCUAAUAAUCC
Long non-coding RNA from Oreochromis niloticus (Nile tilapia), 798 nucleotides. RefSeq lists it as uncharacterized. NCBI's taxonomy places the organism in Eukaryota, Metazoa, Chordata, Actinopteri, Cichliformes, Cichlidae. The transcript is spliced from 2 exons. The record is from RefSeq and is a predicted model, not a curated record.